RNAcentral lists this microRNA precursor (75 nucleotides) under Myotis lucifugus (little brown bat). Its description in RNAcentral is "mir-9193 microRNA precursor family". It matches the Rfam family "mir-9193 microRNA precursor family". The record is from Rfam by way of RNAcentral. Lineage: Eukaryota; Metazoa; Chordata; Mammalia; Chiroptera; Vespertilionidae.
UGGGGGGUGGGGGGGUUCCCUCAGCCCAGAUUGCAAGAGGGUGCAGACCAGGCCAAGGGACUCCACUGGUGCAUG